UAUUGAAGAUAAACGACGCAAUAUCGGUCAACUAUACGGAUAUCUUGAUAAGAUUAUAUAAAAAAAAAAAAAAAAAAAAAAAAAACACACAGAAUCUACAACAAAACGCGAUGGGCAAACGAUAAAAUACAACAAUUAUACGAGACUUGUCCGAUAUUAUUCUACUCGUUAAAUUGUCUGUUUUACCGUUCAAACGGUAAUCGUUCACACGGCGAAAUGAAUAUUGUAAAUUAUUCGAAAUAUAAUAUUUCAUGCACGAAACACCAACGAAGGCAAUUAUUAUUGAUGUUAUAAACAAUUAUUAUUGUUGACAUAUGCCGUAUUUGCACAUCUGUCUCUUACUUGUAUACUUGGGGGCGAAUUUAGUGGUCCUUUUAGGAGUAGAAGGGGGGACAGGCGAAUUGGCGAUUCAGUUUUGUUUCUCUA
This is a non-coding RNA of Cinara cedri, 426 nucleotides long. Lineage: Eukaryota; Metazoa; Arthropoda; Insecta; Hemiptera; Aphididae. The record is from the annotation of a GenBank genome assembly.